Molecule: ribosomal RNA, 2777 nt
Filed under: Pseudomonas syringae pv. syringae
Lineage: Bacteria; Pseudomonadati; Pseudomonadota; Gammaproteobacteria; Pseudomonadales; Pseudomonadaceae
Also listed under: 1 other name
Description: bacterial LSU rRNA
Rfam family: Bacterial large subunit ribosomal RNA
Source: RNAcentral
AGCGCAUACGGUGGAUGCCUUGGCAGUCAGAGGCGAUGAAAGACGUGGUAGCCUGCGAAAAGCUUCGGGGAGUCGGCAAACAGACUGUGAUCCGGAGAUGUCUGAAUGGGGGAACCCAGCCAUCAUAAGAUGGUUAUCUUGUACUGAAUACAUAGGUGCAAGAGGCGAACCAGGGGAACUGAAACAUCUAAGUACCCUGAGGAAAAGAAAUCAACCGAGAUUCCCUUAGUAGUGGCGAGCGAACGGGGACCAGCCCUUAAGUUGUAUUGAGAUUAGCGGAACACUCUGGAAAGGGUGGCCAUAGUGGGUGAUAGCCCUGUACGCGAAAAUCCCUUUGCAAUGAAAUCGAGUAGGACGGGGCACGAGAAACCUUGUCUGAAUAUGGGGGGACCAUCCUCCAAGGCUAAAUACUACUGACUGACCGAUAGUGAACCAGUACCGUGAGGGAAAGGCGAAAAGAACCGCGGAGAGCGGAGUGAAAUAGAUCCUGAAACCGUAUGCGUACAAGCAGUGGGAGCCCACUUUGUUGGGUGACUGCGUACCUUUUGUAUAAUGGGUCAGCGACUUAUUUUCAGUGGCGAGCUUAACCGAAUAGGGGAGGCGUAGCGAAAGCGAGUCUUAAUAGGGCGUCUAGUCGCUGGGAAUAGACCCGAAACCGGGCGAUCUAUCCAUGGGCAGGUUGAAGGUUGGGUAACACUAACUGGAGGACCGAACCGACUACCGUUGAAAAGUUAGCGGAUGACCUGUGGAUCGGAGUGAAAGGCUAAUCAAGCUCGGAGAUAGCUGGUUCUCCUCGAAAGCUAUUUAGGUAGCGCCUCAUGUAUCACUGUAGGGGGUAGAGCACUGUUUCGGCUAGGGGGUCAUCCCGACUUACCAAACCGAUGCAAACUCCGAAUACCUACAAGUGCCGAGCAUGGGAGACACACGGCGGGUGCUAACGUCCGUCGUGAAAAGGGAAACAACCCAGACCGUCAGCUAAGGUCCCAAAGUCAUGGUUAAGUGGGAAACGAUGUGGGAAGGCUUAGACAGCUAGGAGGUUGGCUUAGAAGCAGCCACCCUUUAAAGAAAGCGUAAUAGCUCACUAGUCGAGUCGGCCUGCGCGGAAGAUGUAACGGGGCUCAAACCAUGCACCGAAGCUACGGGUAUCAUCUUUUGAUGAUGCGGUAGAGGAGCGUUCUGUAAGCCUGUGAAGGUGAGUUGAGAAGCUUGCUGGAGGUAUCAGAAGUGCGAAUGCUGACAUGAGUAACGACAAUGGGUGUGAAAAACACCCACGCCGAAAGACCAAGGUUUCCUGCGCAACGUUAAUCGACGCAGGGUUAGUCGGUCCCUAAGGCGAGGCUGAAAAGCGUAGUCGAUGGAAAACAGGUUAAUAUUCCUGUACUUCUGGUUAUUGCGAUGGAGGGACGGAGAAGGCUAGGCCAGCCUGGCGUUGGUUGUCCAGGUUUAAGGUGGUAGGCUGAGAUCUUAGGUAAAUCCGGGAUCUUAAGGCCGAGAGCUGAUGACGAGUGUUCUUUUAGAACACGAAGUGGUUGAUGCCAUGCUUCCAAGAAAAGCUUCUAAGCUUCAGGUAACCAGGAACCGUACCCCAAACCGACACAGGUGGUUGGGUAGAGAAUACCAAGGCGCUUGAGAGAACUCGGGUGAAGGAACUAGGCAAAAUGGCACCGUAACUUCGGGAGAAGGUGCGCCGGUGGAGGUGAAGCAUUUACUGCGUAAGCCCCUGCCGGUCGAAGAUACCAGGCCGCUGCGACUGUUUAUUAAAAACACAGCACUCUGCAAACACGAAAGUGGACGUAUAGGGUGUGACGCCUGCCCGGUGCCGGAAGGUUAAUUGAUGGGGUUAGCGCAAGCGAAGCUCUUGAUCGAAGCCCCGGUAAACGGCGGCCGUAACUAUAACGGUCCUAAGGUAGCGAAAUUCCUUGUCGGGUAAGUUCCGACCUGCACGAAUGGCGUAACGAUGGCGGCGCUGUCUCCACCCGAGACUCAGUGAAAUUGAAAUCGCUGUGAAGAUGCAGUGUAUCCGCGGCUAGACGGAAAGACCCCGUGAACCUUUACUAUAGCUUUGCACUGGACUUUGAAUUUGCUUGUGUAGGAUAGGUGGGAGGCUUUGAAGCGUGGACGCCAGUCUGCGUGGAGCCAACCUUGAAAUACCACCCUGGCAACUUUGAGGUUCUAACUCAGGUCCGUUAUCCGGAUCGAGGACAGUGUAUGGUGGGUAGUUUGACUGGGGCGGUCUCCUCCUAAAGAGUAACGGAGGAGUACGAAGGUGCGCUCAGACCGGUCGGAAAUCGGUCGUAGAGUAUAAAGGCAAAAGCGCGCUUGACUGCGAGACAGACACGUCGAGCAGGUACGAAAGUAGGUCUUAGUGAUCCGGUGGUUCUGUAUGGAAGGGCCAUCGCUCAACGGAUAAAAGGUACUCCGGGGAUAACAGGCUGAUACCGCCCAAGAGUUCAUAUCGACGGCGGUGUUUGGCACCUCGAUGUCGGCUCAUCACAUCCUGGGGCUGAAGCCGGUCCCAAGGGUAUGGCUGUUCGCCAUUUAAAGUGGUACGCGAGCUGGGUUUAGAACGUCGUGAGACAGUUCGGUCCCUAUCUGCCGUGGACGUUUGAGAUUUGAGAGGGGCUGCUCCUAGUACGAGAGGACCGGAGUGGACGAACCUCUGGUGUUCCGGUUGUCACGCCAGUGGCAUUGCCGGGUAGCUAUGUUCGGAAAAGAUAACCGCUGAAAGCAUCUAAGCGGGAAACUUGCCUCAAGAUGAGAUCUCACUGGAACCUUGA